GUCCGGGCGACAGGAAGUGAAGCCGAAGAGAAGCGACUCCACGCUAGCUUAAGAACGUUUGAGGUGGGCAUUACUUUACUAUAAGUAUAUAGAGAUCCCCUGCGUGACGUAGGCCUCAUAUACGAAUAUAUGCAUGAUAUGUUUAACUAUUAUUCAGUUUAUGAAAUGCCCAAAUGAUAAAUGACCCUUAUGAAAUGAAAUGUUUACGAAAAUGAAAUGUUUAUGAAAUGAUUGACUGCCAAAAAUAUUUAUGUUUUAUAUGUAUCCUAUCUGUGUUGGUUCGCCAACUUUAAAGGAAAUCCAAUUGGGAUCCUAUGCUAGACAAAGGUCGCUAGCUAGGGUUAACGUGUACACUCAUGGAGACCGCGAGUCGCUUGCGACCGGUCUUGGCGUCCGUGGUAAGGAGGCCUCCUUCCCGGCGCGUGACAGAAAGGAACAGAUAUGGAUCAUAUGAAGGAAAAUGGGUCGGCCGGCCAAUCUUAUGAAAAUGAAAGAAAUGUUUUAGUAAGCGCAGGACUUUCAAGAAAACCCCUGUGUGUUACUGUUAUGGCAGUUCAAUUUAUAUAUGUAUGCAUGUUGUAUUUUCGGCAUAUGUCCACUGAGUAUUUUUAUACUCAGCCCUGCAUGUAUUUCUAAAUGUGCAGGUUGAGUAGCUGAUGGAAUGGAAUGGUGUUGAGCGGGUGUUCCUUUGAUCAUUUCAAGAAAUGUAACCUUGAGUAUACAUCUUCAUAUGUAUAUCUCACACGUUUUCCGCUGCAAAACACUUUGAUUAGGAUAACUCUAUGUUAUGAAGUUGUGACACGUGAUAUUGGAUAAACCACCUUAAUCAGUUCUCCUUUAUGUGUAUGUUUCAUAAGUAUCCAAAUGAUCAUAUAUGAUCCUAGCAUUUUAUCUAUGAGUGACAUUUUCAUAUACUUUAAUGUUAAGUAAUUGUCCAUUUCCGUUCCCACUCGUUGUUCACCCCAAGUCAUAACC
Molecule: long non-coding RNA, 975 nt
Filed under: Salvia miltiorrhiza (redroot sage)
Lineage: Eukaryota; Viridiplantae; Streptophyta; Magnoliopsida; Lamiales; Lamiaceae
Description: long non-coding RNA (SMIL_LNC007027)
Source: RNAcentral